UUGUAUUUGAUAUUUUGAGGAAACCCAUGAAUCUUAUAGCACUUAUCAAUUAAGUGCCCAGAUUUCUUGCAGUAUCUGCAAAAUAAAGGCCCUCUACUUUGCUCAAAAUUAACUCUGAGUCUGAAAACAGGGGGACUAGGCACUGUGGCCUGAUUAAACCCAUCUGAGUGCUUAUUUGUAUUAGCAUUAAAAGACAUAGAGUCUGGACUGAUUUGAGAAAUAGAUU
This 226-nucleotide long non-coding RNA is filed under the name Nicotiana benthamiana. Its description in RNAcentral is "long non-coding RNA (NBEN_LNC031840)". The record is from RNAcentral. Lineage: Eukaryota; Viridiplantae; Streptophyta; Magnoliopsida; Solanales; Solanaceae.